Molecule: microRNA precursor, 99 nt
Filed under: Mayetiola destructor (Hessian fly)
Lineage: Eukaryota; Metazoa; Arthropoda; Insecta; Diptera; Cecidomyiidae
Description: microRNA mir-263
Source: RNAcentral
ACUCUGACGUUUCUUUUUGGCGCGUUUAGAACCACUGAGUUACACGGUUCUACUAUUUAACUCAGUGGUUCUAAACGUGCCAAAAAGAAACGCCAGAGU